This 870-nucleotide ribosomal RNA is filed under the name uncultured archaeon. Its description in RNAcentral is "bacterial SSU rRNA". It matches the Rfam family "Archaeal small subunit ribosomal RNA", at positions 1 to 879 of the family's 1478-position model. The record is from RNAcentral.
UUCCGGUUGAUCUGGCCGGACCGGACUGCUAUCGGAUUGGUACUAAGUCAUGCGAGUCAUUGUAGCAAUACAAGGCGGACGGCUCAGUAACACGUAGUCAACCUAACUCGUGGACGUGGAUAACCUCGGGAAACUGAGAAUAAACCACGAUAGAUCAUAGUGCCUGGAAUGGCUUAUGGUCCAAACAGUUUACUGCCAUGGGAUGGGACUGCGGCCUAUCAGCUUGUUGGUGAGGUAAUGGCCCACCAAGGCGAUUACAGGUACGGGCUCUGAGAGGAGAAGCCCGGAGAUGGGUACUGAGACACGGACCCAGGCCCUAUGGGGCGCAGCAGGCGAGAAACCUUAGCAAUGUGCGAAAGCACGACUGGGUCAGUCCGAGUGAUUCCUGAUAAAGGAGUCUUUUGCUUGUCCUAAAAGCACAGGUGAAUAAGGGGUGGGCAAGUCUGGUGUCAGCCGCCGCGGUAAUACCAGCACCUCGAGUGGUCAGGACGUUUAUUGGGCCUAAAGCAUCCGUAGCCGGCUCUGCAAGUCUUCGGUUAAAUCCACCUGCUCAACAGAUGGGCUGCUGGAGAUACUACAGAGCUAGGGAGUGGGAGAGGCAGACGGUAUUCAGUGGGUAGGGGUAAAAUCCUCUGAUCCAUUGAGGACCACCAGUGGCGAAGGCGGUCUGCCAGAACACGUUCGACGGUGAGGGAUGAAAGCUGGGGGAGCAAACCGGAUUAGAUACCCGGGUAGUCCCAGCUGUAAACGAUGCAAACUCGGUGAUGCAUUGGCUUAUGGCCAAUGCAGUGCCGCAGGGAAGCCGUUAAGUUUGCCGCCUGGGAAGUACGGACGCAAGUCUGAAACUUAAAGGAAUUGGCGGGGGAAGCA